RNA transcript from Seriola aureovittata, 5357 nucleotides. It is a transcript of the gene named sodium/potassium transporting ATPase interacting 4, with no coding region annotated. The record is from RefSeq and is a predicted model, not a curated record. The transcript has 8 exons. NCBI's taxonomy places the organism in Eukaryota, Metazoa, Chordata, Actinopteri, Carangiformes, Carangidae.
UUAAACCAGCAAAGUGCCUUAGUGAAAUGUGUUUUACAGGAGAGACCAACAUAGAGGGGCACCUGUAAGAAUUUUAAUUGGCCUGCUUUAAUAAUUCGCUACAGUAUCAACUAUGUAACCACAUACAUUUGGAAAAUCACACAACUAAAGGCUUGGCUUCCAUUUUGAAUAGUGACCCUGCAGCCCGCCGCGAUAAUGUGCGAUGAAGUGCUUUUUUUGAAACUUGCCAGAGUGUGUCUCAUCAUACAGUCACAAGAUGGCGCCUUUUCUCCACCAGCAGCAGCAAGCUAGUAGCGGCUAAUUUAACCCGUUGCCCCUCCUCAGCACACUCACAAGAUAAUCAUUCGGCGGUAUCUGAAAAUGAGACUCUGACAUUUAUUGUAAAAACACACAAGUAUUCAAAUAUUUAACACCCCUCAACAAAUAUCUGCUCAAAAUUGGCUUUUUCACUUAAUAUGUAAAUCUAAUUGGUACACGAAUUUUAAUUGGCUUAAUGUAUUUGGUCACCAUGACAAUAAAUUGAUUGUCCCUGUUAAAACAUUUUGAAUUAACAAGCACACAAGUUCUUGCCUGCCACCCCACAGCCAUCUUCCAGGAACCGUGCAGUUGACGCCCUCGGUCAGACAUCCCAGCCCCCGGUUGACUACCCCACCACCACCACCUCCCACCCCUCCUCCUCCUUUUACACACCGGCUCGCAACCAUCUACCCAGCCAGUCACCUCAAGUGCGACCGUCCGGCUGCAGCUCAGGCAAGCAAACAGACCCAGACCAACCAGAGCGAUCCUGCCGCGGGUUUUUGAGAGAGACGCCGGAGCAGAGGAGGAGAAUGGGACGCCGGUGCCUGGAUCAGGACUGAGUCUGGUCGGCACAUUCAGAGCUCCUCCGACCCGUUUCCAAGUCCUUUUCUCCCGACUCAGAGUCACGUUUUCACCGCUGACACAAUGGGCUGCUGCAGCGGACGAUGCACUCUCAUCUUUAUUUGCACUUUACAGUUGGUGUUGGCUUUAGAAAGACAGGUCUUUGACUUCCUGGGUUACCAGUGGGCCCCCAUCCUUGCCAACUUCUUCCACAUCAUCAUCGUCAUCCUCGGCCUCUUUGGCACCAUCCAGUACCGGCCGCGCUACAUUGUGGUGUAUACAGUAUGGGCCGCUCUGUGGGUCGCCUGGAACGUCUUCAUCAUCUGUUUCUACCUGGACGUAGGAGGCCUGUCCAAGGACAGUGACCUGCUGACAUUUAACAUCUCAGCCCAUCACUCGUGGUGGAGCGAACACGGGCCGGGCUGUGUGAGGAGAGAGAUGCCGCAGGCUCCGGGGGUCCGCACCACAGAGAGCCACUCCUACAUCACUGUCAUGGGCUGCCUCAUGGAGUACCAGUACAUCGAGGUGGUGCAUAGCGGCACACAGAUUCUUGUUGCUCUCCUGGGCUUCGUGUACGCCUGUUAUGUUGUCAGCGCUAUCACUGAGGAGGAGGACAGCUACCAGUGGUACACACGUCCAAGCUGUUCUUUGGUGGUCACAUACCAGAGAUUCACUGGCUGUAAGUAGUUAACAUCACCAUCCAACUGAUUUCCCCUCCCAGCUCUGGGCAGCACCACUUAAUCACCAGUCACCCUUAAGUAAUCCCUGGAGGGUAAUACCACUUCAUCAGGAGUGAAGUGAAAAAAAAAAAAGACUUUUGCCCUCAACGUCUUUUCAUUUUGUGUUUGGUGACCUGUGAGCUCCUUUCAUUCCCAGUGUGGACAGUUUGCGCAGAGUGUGUUUGUUUAAAGUCGUAGCAGACAGUCUUUCGCGCUCAAAUACAGAGAUGAAAAUAGCAAGCAAGCAAUAAGGAAAGGUUGCUCAGGGUGAAAACAGAACAUGGUGUGAUUUUUAUUGGUUUUAAUUAUCUUGUAGUUCUUCUCUGAUCCCGACUGUGCUGGAGUAAAACGCAGCUACAUCGCUUCCAACUGCUAGCUCUUUGUUAUUGUAAUCAGCCCUUAGCCUGCACACACACACACACGCACACGCAUAGACACUCACACAUAUUUGUUCAUGAAGACACAGGUGCACAGACACGCACACUCUCGCACCAACACAAAACCCAGCCAAGGCACUUUGCCGCUCUCAUUUUCUCCUCUCAUUUGAUGUGUAGAUUAAAGCAUCAAGCUCCCUGGCUGCAUCAGCAUAUCUCCUCCUACACAGAACUUUUCCUUCUCUUCACUUCUCCCUUGUAUGCUUUAUGGUUUCUUCACAGGUAGAUGGAACAGUCACGAAUCAGAAUCCAGUUCUAGUGUGUUUGAGAAGUCUUGGCUGUCCCCCUCUCUCUGUCUCUUCUCCUGUCUCUGCUUUUUGAGCUUUAAUGAGGUGUGCUUGUAAAAAGUUAGAGGUCUCUGGUCACUCAUUGUAUCAGCCUCAUUAAGCGCCUUGCUGGUCAAUAACUUCACAGUUGAUUGCGCCUCACCGAGACAAGGAAGGUAGGAAGAAUCCUCAGAGACAGAAAGAGAAAGGGAAAGACAGAAAGAGGAGUACGUGAGGGGAGCUGAGGGAGGUGUUUGUCAGGAGCAAGCCAAGGAGGGGAGAAGGAGACGGGGCAAUAUGCAGGAACAAACAACACGAGACAAGAUGAGCUUUUCACGAAUAAGGAGAUGAGACAGGAAUUCUUCACACGACGAGCACUCCCCCACUCUCCACGGAAAGGGUUGAUUUUAUUGGUGGAUUUGACCCAUUCCCACUCUACCAUGUCAAUGAGAAACCAUCUCAUCUCCUCUUAAAGCCCAUGUACCUGUCUACGUAAAUAGGAGAGCGUCCAGCAGGGAGGUGACACAGCAAAUUCCCACGGAGACAAACAUCCCAGUGCACUGGGGACACGCCAGACAUUCCUCCCCCCUUUUUGAUUUCAGUGCUUUAAACAUGUCAUUUACUGGUAUGCUGCCCAGAAAAGCCAACACUUCUCAGUUAGGGUCCAUUGUUUUCCAGGGAGGGAUGACGGGUUCUGGGAACGGGGGGAUUACAGUGCAACAAAGCCUCAUAUUGUGUAUUUAGGGAAGUAUCAAUCAUUUUCUUUGUGUUGAGUUCUCUGCUGAGGUCCCAUCGCUGUGACCUGCCCAUAAUGGUCUAAUACUCCCCAAGAACAUGACUGUAUAGAACAUGUACAGCAUAUAAAUACAUUGUGUAUGUAAUCAGGGACUGCCCAGCAUUCCCAGUCUGCGGUACUGUGUCUUAGAGGACUCAGUGAUUUAGCAUGUUAUUGCCGGUUUGGCUCAGAUCUUGGCUGGAGGGCUGAAUUACAGUGGAGCCUGUGGAAUGAGCUAUUGUGUGCAGCCUGUUUACUUUAGGCCAGGAUCUGUGUGCAUAAAUACACAAAGUAAAGCAGGAAGAGGCAGGGGAGUGGAGAGGUACAGGGAGGGGAGGGAACAAAAGCACCAAACCUACAGGGGCAUCUGUCAAAAAUAGAAAAUGUAAAUAAUGAAACGAGCUGGGGGGUGGUGGGGUGGGGAUGGAGGGGGUUGACAUGUGGUUGAGAGUUAUGGUUGAAAGUUUGACGUGAAAACUAUCAAGAAUGCAAAAGAGCGUUAGCGUGUAAGAGGCGUUCAAACACAGGGAAUGGCAUGCGAGUCUUGCUUUUAUUUCCAGAGUCUUAUUAUUGUGACUAUUUUCACCAACAGCCUCGUCAGUAAUUCUGAAGUGUCAGGUGUUUGUGUCAGACGCUGUGUUGAAAGCUUUGUUUUCACCUCAGUUUUUCUCCUCUAACUACUGACACAUCAGGCUGCUGGCGGGGGGGGGGGGGGGGGUCAUUACACACACUCGAGUAAAGGUUACACAGCAUAUAUUUAACUUCGAGAAAACAAUAGAAAUUGUUUUACGAUUCAUAUUGCACACAACAGUGUUGAGUCUUAUGGGUAUGGUCUUCUGUGUAGAAGUAGCAUGGCUAUACGUGAGUGGAUCAGAGCAUUGUCUCCUGUCACUUCAACAGUUUAGAUUCUCAUUGGUGAUAGUCUCAGUUGUGAUUGUUUUAUAGCAUGUUUUUUACAGGGUUUGUAUUGUAAUUAUGUGUAAAGCAUAUUAAGUAAUGACAAAAUAGCGAAACUGAUGUCUUCACAGUGUAUGAGCUGGAUAAACUGGGUAGUUUCUUAAUCAUAUUUCUUUUAUUCUGACCCAGUAUCAUUAUAACUUGAUUUAGGCAAAAGUGCACACACCUGGGUCAUAUCUCCCAAACUGAGUGGUAGCACUUUUUUUUUUUUUUUGCGCUUAAUGUUUAAUCUAUCAGGACAAAAGUCAGCUAAAGUCAGAUCCCCUGUUGCCUCACUGAUUGUGUGAAUCACUACUGCCCUCUGGUGUUCAGAGUGUUCAUGUACAUGUUGUGAGGCUGCUGAGUCUCUGCCACAAGCCCGCUCUUCCACAAAUCUCCAUAUUUUUUUUUUUUUAACUCAAACUAAUUUUUUUGUUAGCGGAUAACAGUGAAUCUUAAAAUAGCAUGUUGAUACUGAAUAACUGUCAUGUGAGAGGAGUCAGCAAGUUGCCCUGGUUGUUUCAUUGUUACAUUCAGUCCUCUGUCUUUGUCAUUUCGGUUAAGAUCUUUUCUUAGCCACUGAAUUUGAAUACAGAAUAUUUUCAGUACAUCAUUUGUUUGAUUGCAGUAAUUCUUGGUGCGAAUUCUUGAAAUUGACAGCAUAGCUAUUUUUUUCCUAGAAUCAAAAAAAAAGUUGCUUUCUAUUCAUUUUGUUUUUCAGUCCAUUUUGUCUAUUGUUAGCACCUGAAAACAUCCUGCUGGGCCUCAGAUUUCUGUGAUAUUAGAUGUACUGUCACUGCCAGAUAGACAGUCUACAAACUGUUAUGAUUCUGAACUAAUCUCUUGACUAAUUUCAGAAUAAUGUGAGUGAUCUAUUUUGAUGUGAUUGGUCUCUCUAUUGGAAAGAUGCAAUAAUAAUUUAUAAGUCAUUAUUGUCUUUAUAAUUUAAAGUUUACACACUCCUGGUAUGCUAACUGGUGUGUAGAUUAGUAAAAACACAGAGCACCUCAUAUUGUAACAUAAUCAGUAUUAGUAGUAAGAUACUACUAAAAUCAUUAUGUAAAACGAGUCUUCCUCUCAGUGCAAUACAGCCUCUUCCUAAAACCCAGUGACUGGAAUUAGUUAAAACCUGUUAUGGUUGUCUAUGUGUGUUAGUCUCCACUGAAAAAAAGAUUCCACCUCUUUGUAGAUAAUUCUGUUUCUUUGCAUAGAAAGUGGAAAAAGAUUUUUUUUGUAUUUCUCUCUUCUAUUUUGUGUCCUGUGUUGCCCCAUCCCCAUGUGACCUUGAUUGUGUAAUCCUAUUUAUCCAGAACUGUGCUUUGUGUUCAUGUAAAUAGGUGUUUGUUAAUAAAAGAAUGUGCUCUUUUAA